Molecule: ribosomal RNA, 433 nt
Filed under: uncultured bacterium
Lineage: Bacteria
Description: partial 16S ribosomal RNA
Rfam family: Bacterial small subunit ribosomal RNA
Source: RNAcentral
AACGAAUGCUGGCGGCAUGCCUAACACAUGCAAGUCGAACGAGACCUUCGGGUCUAGUGGCGCACGGGUGCGUAACGCGUGGGAACCUGCCCUUAGGUUCGGAAUAACUCCCCGAAAGGGGUGCUAAUACCGGAUAAUGUCUUCGGACCAAAGAUUUAUCGCCUUUGGAUGGGCCCGCGUUGGAUUAGCUAGUUGGUAGGGUAAAAGCCUACCAAGGCGACGAUCCAUAGCUGGUCUGAGAGGAUGAUCAGCCACACUGGGACUGAGACACGGCCCAGACUCCUACGGGAAGCAGCAGUGGGGAAUAUUGGACAAUGGGCGAAAGCCUGAUCCAGCAAUGCCGCGUGAGUGAUGAAGGCCUUAGGGUUGUAAAGCUCUUUUACCCGGGAUGAUAAUGACAGUACCGGGAGAAUAAGCUCCGGCUAACUCCGUG